UAGAAAUAAAUAUUGCUGAGCAAGCAAGCCAAUCAAAUCCUUCUUUGUACACUACACUUCCUUGUUCACGUGGCUACAACAGAGGGGCAAUAGAAAUAAACUGUUGAGCAAGCAAACAAAUCACGUUCGCAAUUACUUAUUUGUGUGGUCAGGAUCCUUUCAAGCCCUGUCAGGUUGAAUGGGGAGCGUCGCAGCACAGCUAUUUUCAGGUCUCUCCAGAGAUGCUUGAUCGAGUUCAAGUCCAGGCUCUGGCUGGACCACUUAAGGACAUUGAGACUUGUCCCAAAGCCACUCCUGUGUUGUCUUGGCUGUGUGCUUAGCGUCGUUGUCCUGGAGCAGGUUUUCAUCAAGGAUCUCUCUUUACUUUGCUCCGUUCAUCUUUCCCUAGAUUCGGACUAGCCUGACUGGCUUCAGUCUGUCCACUCUACAAUGCAGGGCUUAAUUGGUGGAGUGCUGCAGAGCUGGUUGUCCUUCUGGAAGGUCCUCCCAUCUCCACAGAGGAACUCUGGAGCUCUGUCAGAGUGACCAUCAGGUUCUUGGACACCUCCCUGACCAAGGCCCUUCUCACCAGAUUUGCUCAGAUUGGCAGGGCGCCCGGCUCUAGGAAGAGUUUUGGUGGUUCCAAACUUCUUAUAUUUUAAGAAUGAUGGAGGCCACUGUUCUUGGGGACCUUCAAUGCUACAGACAUUUUUUUGUUUCUUUCCCCAGAUCUGUGCCUCGACACAAUCAUGUCUCGGAGCUUGAUUUUUGCUCUGGCAUGCAAUGUCAACUGUGGGACUUUAUAUAGACAGGUGUGUGCCUUUCCAAAUCAAUUGAAUUUACCAGACUCCAAUCAAGUUGUAGAAACAGCUCAAGGAUUAUCAGUGGAAAUUGGAUGCACCUGAGCUCAAUUUCAAGUCUCAAAGCAAAGGGUCUGAACACACGUGUAAAUAAGGCAUUUCAUUUUUUUAUUUUAUACAUUUACAAACAUUUCUAAAAACCUGUUAUCAAUUUGUCAUCAUGGGGUAUUGUGUGUAGAUUGAUGAGGAAAACAAUUUAUGUUAUCCAUUUUAGAAUAAGGCUGUAACAUAACAAAAUGUGGAAAAAGUCAAGCGGUCUGAAUACUUUCCGACCGCAGUGUACAUGUAUUAUCCUCAUCAAAGGACAGUCAGUAAAUGCAACGCAAUCAAGCCUGUUCCUGUUAGACUGAACUGAUUUGCAUACCUGAGCAAUAAGGGAGAGAUGUGCCUGUACAGGUGUGAGUGUGUAUCAAAGUGGGAAGGAGGCCAAAGAAGUACGAGGAGCAGUGGAUGGGGGAGUGAGAUAAAAGGUUGAGGCUUCCUCCAGACUAACUCCAGCCACCCAAGUCAUAGACUGUUCUCUCUGCUACCGCACGGCAAGCGGUACCGGAGUGCCAAGUCGGGGACCAAAAGGCUCCUGAACAGCUUUUACCCCCAAGCCAUAAGACUGCCGAACAGUUAAUCAAAUGGCUACCAUUACCACUUGCUUUGACCCCCUUUUUAUUUGCACUGAGUCUCUUGCACUGGCUCUAUGCACACUCACUGGACUCUACCCACACACACAUACUACAGUAACACACACAUGCAACCUACCUGCCCUCCAGGACACCUACAGCACCCGAUGUCACAGGAAGGCCAUAAAGAUCAUCAAGGACAACAACCACCCGAGCCACUACCUGUUCACCCUGCUAUCAUCCAGAAGGUGAGGUCAGUACAGGUGCAUCAAAGCUGGGCCCGAAAGACUGAAAAACAGCUUCUAUUUCAAGGCCAUCACUAGCACUGAGAGGCUUCUGCAAACAUACAGACUUGUAACCAUUAAUGUUUACAUAUCUUGCAUUACUCAUCUCAUAUGUAUAUACUGUAUUCUAUCUAUUUCAUCUUAGCCUACGCCGCUCUGACAUUGCUCAUCCAUAUAUUUAUAUAUUCUUAUUCCAUUCCUUACUUAGAUUUGUGUGUAUUAGGUAUUUAUUGUGGAAUUGUUAAAUAUUACUUGUUAGAUAUUGCUGCACUGUUAGAACUAGAAGCACAAGCAUUUCACUUCACUCACAAUAACAUCUGUUUACCAUGUGUGUGUGACCAAUAAAAUUUGAUUUGAUAGAUGCCACACACACGUUCA
This is a long non-coding RNA of Oncorhynchus keta (chum salmon), 2115 nucleotides long. RefSeq lists it as uncharacterized. NCBI's taxonomy places the organism in Eukaryota, Metazoa, Chordata, Actinopteri, Salmoniformes, Salmonidae. The transcript has 2 exons. The record is from RefSeq and is a predicted model, not a curated record.